AAGUCUGGUGCCAGCAGCCGCGGUAAUUCCAGCUCCAAUAGCGUAUAUUAACGUUGUUGCAGUUAAAAAGCUCGUAGUUGAAAUGAAGGGUAGUUGUGUAAUGAAUACAUUCGUGUAUUUUGUUAUUCUACUACCCUCCUUCUAAAUUCGAUAUAUGAGUAUUAAUUUACUUGUAUAUGGUUUUAGACGUUUACUGUGAGAAAAUUAGAGUGUUCAAAGCAGGCAUUUGCUUGAAUAUAUUAGCAUGGAAUAAUCAUGUAUGAUUUUCAUGAUGUAUUUGAUUGGUUUGGUUCAUGAGAAUAAGAUUAAAAGGGACAGUUGGGGGUAUUCAUAUUCAAUAGUCAGAGGUGAAAUUCUCGGAUUUAUGGAAGAUGAACAAGUGCGAA
RNAcentral lists this ribosomal RNA (386 nucleotides) under Blastocystis hominis. Its description in RNAcentral is "bacterial SSU rRNA". It matches the Rfam family "Eukaryotic small subunit ribosomal RNA", at positions 557 to 949 of the family's 1831-position model. Lineage: Eukaryota; Bigyra; Opalinata; Blastocystidae. The record is from RNAcentral.